This 448-nucleotide ribosomal RNA is filed under the name uncultured bacterium. Its description in RNAcentral is "bacterial SSU rRNA". It matches the Rfam family "Bacterial small subunit ribosomal RNA", at positions 28 to 490 of the family's 1533-position model. The record is from RNAcentral.
GAUGAACGCUGGCGGCAUGCCUUACACAUGCAAGUCGAACGGCAGCAUGGAAGAGCUUGCUCUUCUGAUGGCGAGUGGCGAACGGGUGAGUAAAGCAUCGGAACGUACCGUGUAGUGGGGGAUAACGUAGCGAAAGUUACGCUAAUACCGCAUACGCACUGAGGUGGAAAGCAGGGGAUCGCAAGACCUUGCGCUAUACGAGCGGCCGAUGUCAGAUUAGCUAGUUGGUGGGGUAAUGGCCUACCAAGCCGACGAUCCAUAGCUGGUUUGAGAGGAUGAUCAGCCACACUGGGACUGAGACACGGCCCAGACUCCUACGGGAGGCAGCAGUGGGGAAUCUUAGACAAUGGGCGCAAGCCUGAUCUAGCCAUGCCGCGUGAUCGAUGAAGGCCUUAGGGUUGUAAAGAUCUUUCAGUGGGGAAGAUAAUGACUGUACCCACAGAAGAAG